AAAAAGCUUAAAAAUUUGAGAAUUUUCAAUGAAAAAACCUUAGAAAGGGUUAUGCAUGCGUAAAGGAAUUUACAGCAACGUGAAAAACAAGAUUCAGACAUUAAUAAAUUCAUAAGCCACGGUGUCUGCGCUUUCAAGAUUCGGCAUCUGUUGAUCUCCAUGUUGUGAUAAAAUCAAUGAGUGGAAAUCUCACACGCACUUUUUAGUUCCGUAAUGUAAUCUAUUAUGAUGUCGCUGCUCAUUAGAAAUAGAAAACAAACUCGCAUGCAAAAAGCAUGUAAUUAUGUACCAUAGCCUUUUUACAAUAUUCAAUAUUCUCAAAUCUCUUUUCCGCGGACUGGAUAGAUUUCUCCGACCUUUUUUUUUGCUGAUGGCCGAAUCAUAUCACUUAUUUUAAAGAGAAAAACGGUACAGCAGUAUUUUAAAUAAUUUUAUGUUAUAAGAUUAAUAUAUGAAAUAAUUAUUUAAUAAUUAAUUUAAAAAUAAGCUAAUAAAAGUCUAAAAUGUUAAUAAAUUUAAAUAAUAUUAAUAUAAUAAUAACAAUAAUCUUUUAUAUAAUACAGUGCAUAUUACACCAAAUGAAAUAUUGCAUUAAAACUUACAUAAUGUACCCUAACUAAUGCAAUAUACUACAACGUAAUACGACUAAUGCAGCGUGCCAAAACACACUCUUAAUAUAGAAUGGUAUCUUUUAGAACAUGUAUUGCUUCAAAUGAGUUUUGUCAAACAAUUGGUUCACUGUAUUAUAAAUGUCUUGCAACACACGCUUUGCUUUAAAACAUGUAAAGUGACAAAAAGAACCCAUGAAGAUAAUAUAUAUAUAAUGAUCUCAUAAAUAGCUUCCAUGUACAUGAAGAUGAAAAAUUAUUCUCCAAAGAUUUAUGAAUAUUUAUAUAUUUUCAGCAAUGAUUUUGAAACCGCAUUAUCAGUUCUACAUUAGAUUUUUCUCCGGGAGAUAUUGGAAAAUUGGAAUUUGAUUUAGUCUAAAUCUAACUCUAUUCUGGAGUAAUAUAUGUGGAUAAUUUCAAAGGUUAAAUGGCUUCAUGCAUGACAUCUUUCGUGGCAAAAUCUUAAGCAAUUAGGUUUGGUGAUUGGUUCAACAGCUAUUUCAAGCGAGCUGCCAAUGAGAUUGGAUGUAGCAAAAAUGGUUGAAUUUUUUAAAAAUAAAAAUGGUUUGAUUUUUGAAUGAGAUUACUGUUUGAAGUGCCCAGCAAAAAAUUAAAUUAAAGUCAAAUAAGUCUCUUUGUUUUUCUAAUGGAAAGCUUUUUGACUUGAUGUUUACAAGUAAAAAUAUGUAAUCUAAAAUUUAUUUUCAUAUAAACUUCUUGAAAACUUAAAUGGUGUCCCCAUAUAAUUAUGUCUUACACCCUAUUGCAUGCGCACCGACCGUUUCUUUGGUGGAAAAGUGCUUGAGCGGUAUAGGCAAUUAUCAACCUGUCAUUUCACGAUUGACUUUUUACAACAACAAAACUCCAUAAUUUAAUUAUAUCCACUAUGCGAGUGGCGAACUGGCAAGCUAUUAUACGAUCAAGAUUAUUUCUCUCCGCUGUACUCCUCAUCCUCAAUUUUAUUUUCUCUUUGUUUAAUUUUUUUUUUUUUUAAUAUGUCGAUCUCCAAGUUUUGUUCUUGAUCCCUAAUUCAUUACAUAUUUAUAACCAAAAAAAAAACUGGGAAAAUCAAUUACACAUAAUAAAUUGAAGGUUAAGAAGUAAAAUUUGACGGAUCAAGAAAAAAAAAAAAAGCUUAAAAAUUUGAGAAUUUUCAAUGAAAAAACCUUAGAAAGGGUUAUGCAUGCGUAAAGGAAUUUACAGCAACGUGAAAAACAAGAUUCAGACAUUAAUAAAUUCAUAAGCCACGGUGUCUGCGCUUUCAAGAUUCGGCAUCUGUUGAUCUCCAUGUUGUGAUAAAAUCAAUGAGUGGAAAUCUCACACGCACUUUUUAGUUCCGUAAUGUAAUCUAUUAUGAUGUCGCUGCUCAUUAGAAAUAGAAAACAAACUCGCAU
This 2002-nucleotide long non-coding RNA is filed under the name Citrus sinensis (sweet orange). RNAcentral describes it as "long non-coding RNA (CSIN_LNC001938)". The record is from RNAcentral. Lineage: Eukaryota; Viridiplantae; Streptophyta; Magnoliopsida; Sapindales; Rutaceae.